RNAcentral lists this long non-coding RNA (1305 nucleotides) under Mytilus galloprovincialis (Mediterranean mussel). The record is from RNAcentral. Lineage: Eukaryota; Metazoa; Mollusca; Bivalvia; Mytilida; Mytilidae.
CGGAAAUUGUAAUUCUAAUAUGAGAUAAAAAAAAUAAUAAAUAAGAAUAAAAAGUUACUUUAACAUGCAUAUGCAUGUGCAUACGCUUAUAACUGGAUCAAUAUGAUUAUCAUUUCGAUUUGUAUUGGCAAAUAGUUAACUAACUACGCACAUAUUAUACAAAUUCAUUCAGGAAGUACAAGUUUAUAGCCUACCAUGGUUUACAUAAAUUAAGUAGUCUCAUAAGGUCACAAUGAAUAUUUUACACUCUGCAGUAUUUGUUACACUAGUUUUUGCAUGUGCAAAUUUUCCUGUGACUUACGGUAAGUCAGUCUUUAUUGCAUUUAUUUACUGGUAUAGUAAAUACUUUGUUUAUGUAUUUUUUUGGGGAAAAGGGGGGUGUUCUGUUGGGCGUAUGAUAUUUUCGCCGAUUUUUAAAAUUGUCAAUCUUUUAUUUGCGCCGAUUUCAUUUUUUCAUUUGCGCCGAUUUUAUAUUUUCUAUUAAUUGCACAGUUUGACACAGAUGAGUAAAUACUUGUACAUGUACUAUACCUCAAGUCCUAUAAUAUGUGACUUUGGAGUUUCAUAUCAUUUACAUUCAAUUUAUCAUAAUUUUUUUGCUAUCAGGGUUUCAACAUUGACAGUAAAAACAACUCCAAAGUCAUAUUAUAGGACUAACUAGACCUCAUACCACAUCUUCUUAUAUCUACUUUUAAAAAGGUAUAUUAGUAAAAUCUGGUUAUAAACGGUGAUCACUUACGUUUAAUUUUAUUGUAAAACGAUGGACAUAUUGCACACUGAAACGAGCCGAGGAGUGUCAAAAUCGGCGAAAAUGAAAUGCUUAUCGGUACAAAUGCUAAACACCGGUUCUGUUGAGUUGAGUGGGGAGGGUUGGCUGUUGAGUUGGGGGAGGAUGGGGGGGCAAUUUAAACAAGAUUAUUUUUUAGCAUGUCUUUUGUCAGACAGAAAAGCUUCUCUCGAGAAAAGUGACUUGCUUUAUAUAGAUAUUUUUCUCUCAUUGAAUUGAGGUAUUGUCAUCUUCCAUUUCUUAAAUUGUGUAGUUCUUGGUUUAUUUGAUGGAUAUGAUACAUGGAUGAAUAGAACGUUUCGAGUCUCAGGCCUUGUCUACUUGUUCAUAGUAAAUUAAUUAAAUUAAUUAGCAAUUCUGAUAUCAACUGAAUAUAAUUCAUUUCAUUUUCAAUAAAUAGGAAAGCUGGUAUCGAUCCAAGAUGAUGUUCUUCGUGCAUUAUUGGUGAUGAAUAGGUCAUGUGACACUGGUAAUUAUUCAUAUCUAACUUAUUGUUUAAUAGCAAACAAAUCAGACAG